RNAcentral lists this long non-coding RNA (538 nucleotides) under Pan troglodytes (chimpanzee). RNAcentral's name for it is "lincRNA". The record is from RNAcentral. Lineage: Eukaryota; Metazoa; Chordata; Mammalia; Primates; Hominidae.
AAAUCCCAAACCGUAAAUCAUAAAAGGAUCAGACAGCAAAGAGUACUCAAAAGCUGAUUUAUUGAGAUCCUGAUUAGUUUGAAGUAACUAGAAUCUUGAUCAAACAGUGACAAGACCCAAGAUUUGUUUUACUCUAAAGUGAGAAAUUAUCCUCAACAAAAAAACAUUUCACAGUGAGAAUCAGAAGAAUAUUUGCAUCAGGCAACUCUGGGUGCUAGAUAUUUAUUUUUUCUUUUUCACAUGAACUAUAAAAACUUACCACAAAAGAUUGAUCUCCAUAACUGCUUAUACUCUAGAAUUAUUAUACAUUGCACUGUUCUUGCUAAUACUCCAAAGACAUGCAGAAAAUAGAAAGGUAAGUUUGCAGGGGGAAAAAAGAACAAUGGAAUGAAGAAGCAAACAGGGAGUUAAAAUAACUCCCUGGAAUAGUAGAAUCAGGAAAGCAAAGGUAAAGCAUUAAAGACUAAGGACUGCGUGACUCCUAAGGGGAAAAUGCAUUCUUUUAUUUUGCACUGAGAUUAAAUUUGCUGAUUUUUUU